GGUAUUAAGGAGUUGACGUUUAAGUUCUCGGGUUCUGCGGCAGGCUUGUUUGGAGAUAGCUUUCUUUUCCUUGGGUGGAUCCGUUGAGCGUGGACUCGAUCGAGGGGCAUAACCAAGUUUCAGGUAAGGGCACAGCGAGGGGCAGACCGACGAGGGGCAGGA
Cucumis melo (muskmelon) is the source of this 162-nucleotide long non-coding RNA. RefSeq lists it as uncharacterized. The transcript has 3 exons. The record is from RefSeq and is a predicted model, not a curated record. NCBI's taxonomy places the organism in Eukaryota, Viridiplantae, Streptophyta, Magnoliopsida, Cucurbitales, Cucurbitaceae.